This 274-nucleotide ribosomal RNA is filed under the name uncultured bacterium. RNAcentral's name for it is "partial 16S ribosomal RNA". It matches the Rfam family "Bacterial small subunit ribosomal RNA", at positions 523 to 796 of the family's 1533-position model. The record is from RNAcentral.
AUACGGAGGGGGUUAGCGUUGUUCGGAAUUACUGGGCGUAAAGCGCGCGUAGGCGGUUUGUUAUGUCAGAUGUGAAAGUCCACGGCUCAACCGUGGAAGUGCAUUUGAAACUGGCAAACUUGAGUACUGGAGGGGGUGGUGGAAUUCCCGGUGUAGAGGUGAAAUUCGUAGAUAUCGGGAGGAAUACCGGUGGCGAAGGCGACCACCUGGCCAGAUACUGACGCUGAGGUGCGAAAGCGUGGGGAGCAAACAGGAUUAGAUACCCUAGUAGUCC